Molecule: ribosomal RNA, 422 nt
Filed under: uncultured prokaryote
Description: bacterial SSU rRNA
Rfam family: Bacterial small subunit ribosomal RNA
Source: RNAcentral
UGAGGAAUAUUGGUCAAUGGGCGCAAGCCUGAACCAGCCAUCCCGCGUGAAGGAUGAAGGUCCUAUGGAUUGUAAACUUCUUUUAUACACCAAGAAAACUUCGGACGUGUCCGAAUCUGACGGUAGUGUAUGAAUAAGCACCGGCUAACUCCGUGCCAGCAGCCGCGGUAAUACGGAGGGUGCAAGCGUUAUCCGGAUUCAUUGGGUUUAAAGGGUGCGUAGGCGGCUUUUUAAGUCAGUGGUGAAAUCUUGCCGCUUAACGGUAAAAUUGCCAUUGAUACUGAAAAGCUUGAGUACAGUUGAGGUAGGCGGAAUGUGUAGUGUAGCGUUGAAAUGCUUAGAUAUUACACAGAACACCAAUUGCGAAGGCAGCUUGCUGAGCCAUUACUGACGCUGAUGCACGAAAGCGUGGGGAUCGAACA